RNAcentral lists this ribosomal RNA (253 nucleotides) under uncultured bacterium. RNAcentral's name for it is "partial 16S ribosomal RNA". It matches the Rfam family "Bacterial small subunit ribosomal RNA", at positions 524 to 776 of the family's 1533-position model. The record is from RNAcentral.
UACGUAGGAUGCAAGCGUUGUCCGGAAUUACUGGGCGUAAAGGGCGAGUAGGCGGUAUACCAAGUCCGAUGUGAAAUCCCCCGGCUUAACCUGGGAACUGCGUCUGAUACUGGGAGGCUUGAGUAUGGGAGAGGGAUGUAGAAUUCCAGGUGUAGCGGUGAAAUGCGUAGAUAUCUGGAGGAAUACCGGUGGCGAAGGCGGCAUCCUGGACCAUAACUGACGCUGAGGCGCGAAAGCUAGGGGAGCAAACGGG